Molecule: non-coding RNA, 185 nt
Organism: Pimephales promelas (fathead minnow)
Lineage: Eukaryota; Metazoa; Chordata; Actinopteri; Cypriniformes; Leuciscidae
Source: RefSeq, a predicted model, not a curated record
CAUUUUCAUUGUUAAAGGAGUAGUUCAGUGGUUCUCAAACUUUUUCAGGAGGAGGCCCCCUUGUGUAGGGUGAAUCCUUUAGUGGCCCCCCAAAAGAAAACUCAUAACGAAAACAUCCUCAAACGUACAAUUUUACUUACAAAUUUUAGAUUGUACCAAAAACAAAUGAAUUUGUACAAUGCUGG